UUAAUUUUGAUGGGACCCAAUAGGUCACCCUAGUUUGUUCAUCCUGAAUACCUUGUUUACCCCUGAAUCACUUGGGUAGUUCUGCUACUGCUUUAUAUGGUUUUGGGUUAAUAUUUCAUUACAUCUAUGUUCCAAUUAUGUUGUUAUUCUAUUUAUGUUCAUGACAAGAUCAUUAAAAUGUUAAUUGGAACAUAGAGCUUAACUUGAGAACCACGUGCCACCACAAGGGUUUAAUGGGACGCCCUUGGCUGACUAAUUAGGAAAGCUAGUGGAGGACUACCUUACCCGAAAGGGGCAAGGGCAGUAGGGGAGUGGUCAGUGUAGGGAGGCCCUCGGGAGGAUUUUGCUGCGAUGGCGGUCCUGCAAGGGAUUCCUGCAUUGGAGCUUCCUAUAAACUGCAGCGGGUUUUCUGAAGCUAGUGGAACUUUGUAAAGGCCUCGUAGUGUUACCCUGCCGCGCCUCCUCGGUAGAGGUGUAUGGGAAGUCGCGAUCCCUUGGCAGAUGGGUAACAUGACUUGUGGGUAAAGGGUACCACCUCUGCAGAGUGUAAAACUGGUAUACUAGCCGAGCUCACGGUCAUGAGCAGCUCAGGACUCUCUGAUGAUUAAAUUAUGGAACUUAAACUCAAUUUGUCAUAUGCAUUGCAUUGCAGGUGAGGUUGUUACUUUUGUUCUACUACUUAAUUGGGUUGGUAUUUACUUAUACUUAGUAAUUGCUAAUAAAAUUUUGACCAACUUUAAAAGCAAUGCUCAGCUCUAACCAUCCUCUUUGGUAAGCCUUACACUUCACAUGAACCCCCACCUUUGGCGAGUUCAUUCACAUUAUUCCCCACAACUUGUUGAGCGAUGAACGUAUGUGAGCUCACUCUUGCUGUCUCACUCCCCCCCCCCACAGGUCAAGAACAGGUACCGCAGGAUGAGGCGCUUGGAGGAUGCUGUAAUGAGUUCGUGAGUGGUCUAGGUCGUCGUCUCCCAGUCAACUUUGGGUUGCUGGAUCGUUUCCUCAUAUGAUGUAAUUAUUUAAUUAUUUUUGUACAGAACUCCUGUUAAAUAGUAAAGAUGUGACAUUCGAUCCUGUGCCAUGAUUCAUCAUAUGUGUGAGACUUGGUCCCAGCACACCUGGUGAUUAUGUUUACGCCCGGGUUUUGGACCCCUAAAAUCCGGGUGUUACAGAAGUGGUAUCAGAGGAAUGUUGACUGUAGGACGAAACCUAGAUAGAACUGGACAACCAAUAUUUACUUACCUUUGCUACUCUGAUUCUUUCUAAACUUUUCUUAAUCUUUUCUCAUCUAUUUCUGCUUCACUCUGAUUACUCUUACCUUUUCUUUCUAAAAGACAAAUGUAGAUUUCACACUUUGAAAUCCUGUGCCUAAGGUGAUCUUUAGGAAUAGGAUACCUACUCUUAGAAACAAAAUCAAAACUAUUUUCGUAAGUAUUUGUAUGCUUGAAUGUUUGUUCUUAUGAUACUUGUCUGAUUUGGAUCUUUGAUUGAGUGGGAUGAGUUGUGGAGUAGUGUCCACAAUUGCAUCUACAUACACUUAGGCAUAUAUAUAUAUAUAUAUAUAUAACUAAUCAAACUUAGAUUGUCCCUCAUUAAAAAAAUGUAUCUAGCUUAAUAGAUCCAUCUUAUCUUAAAAGACUCUCUUAUCUUGAUAGAUCCAUCUUAUCUUAAAAGAUUCUAUCUUAUCCUAAUAUGUUCAACUUAUCCUAACCACUUUACUUAUCUCAUCCUAAAGUAACAACCAUGAUCUAAUUAAGGAGGUCUUAUCUAGUCUAUCUAGUCAUAACGAUCUAACCUAGAUCUGAUCCAGUGUGAUAGAAUAAUCUAACCUAAUGAAGGCUAACCUUAAGUGAGCUAAUCUAAUGUAAGUUACUUAAUCCUGUUACAAAAGAUAAGGCCAUACUCCUAAUUCACAUAUGCCUAAAUUGGUGACUUAGAUCAAUUCGACCACACCCAACAACUUGACCUACAAAACAGGUUACAUAACUAAUCCCAUCUAGCAUAUAGCUACCUACUAAACCCUCUACCUAUUUGUUGCAUACAGAUCUAUCUUAACCUCUUGUCCCAAACCCGGAUGAAGACAUCAAGACUCGAGAAGAAGGAGAUCAAACUCGUUGAGGAAUAAUAAGAAUCAAGCCAUACUUCCAAAGGAAUCAAGAUCCACUAUGCAUUAUGGAGUCCUUCCUUACUCUACUAUGUCCUACCCAAGCCUAUCCAUGCUUUAAAGACAUCGUUUUACACAUUUGGUGGUUGUACAUAUAUACUCAUGCCUUCAUAAUCACCUACUCAUUUGUAUAAAAAAUUUCUUGAUUUUGGUACCAACUAAAAACUAAAAGCUAUAUUACAACCAAUCUCUCUAUAUCCCUUAUCUUACAAAUCUCGAGGACGAGAUUUCUGUUAAGGGGGUAGGAUUUGUAACACCUCAAAAUCUUGUCUUAAGAAAUUAGUAAAAUUCUCCAAUUUUUUUUUUUGAGUAAAUCCCCUAGGAAAGAAUCUUCUUUUUUUUUACAAAAUAAACAUGUUUUCUAAUAAAGGACAUCUAUAUGAAUUAGGUUCCCUAUUUUAUUUGAAAUAUAAAAUUCAGAUAAAGCAUCUUCUAGUAAAGGUUGUACACUAGAAAUUUGCUCCUCUUAAAAGCAACUAUUUUUGUGUAUGUGAAUUUGCAUAUUUAAAAAAAAACAUGAUACAUAAAUGAGAUAAUAAUAAAUAUUUAUACACUUUGCAUCAUGUUGGAGUUUAUUUGAUUGUGCAUUUAAAAAUAAUAAUAAUAGGAAUAUACAAAUGGUGAAAUAGGUAUUUGAACCUAAAUUUGGAAAUUAAGAUGUGGAUAAAGGAAGAAAAGAAAUAUUAUAAAAUUCAUAAUAAAAAAUGUAAACUAUAUCCAUACUAAGUAAUAUUAAAAUCUACCUUUAGUUUGAGUACAAAAUUCAUAUUCAUAGUUGAAUUCAAAUUCAAAACCUAAAUAUGAAAAUGAGAGGAAAUAGAAAAUAGAGAUGGGAAUAGAAAAGAAAAGAAAUGGAAAAACUCACCUGUAGCCGGUACAUGGGCCGAAACCAUACCUGCCGGCCCAUUCCUAACCGCGCGCUCAUAGGCAAACUUGUGACGCUGACUUGUGAGGUCCGUAUGUCAGAUCUUCCCCCAUCUCGCGCCGAGUUCGGAACAGGCACUGCUCGUGGCGCGCGGACUCCGGAGAUUCCUCAACCGAACCCUCACCGGAUGCCGAAAUCCGCGCUGCUCGUCGUGGGACGGUCUCAUCCGCUGGUGCCGCAAUCCGCGGACCGUUGCCCAGUGCCGUGCGCCUAUAUAACCCGUGGAAUCCCAGUGUCGCCGAGAACGCAGAAAGAGAGAGAUAGAAUCAAGCUGCGCCAUUGUCCGGAGGCCCGUGCUACCUUGGGGUGCUUCGCGGUGCUGCUGGGAGGGCGCUCGAUGCCGGAUAAGGAAGUGACGACCAUCGGGGCGGCCGGAAUUUUACACCGUCGACAUCCCUCCCGCCGCUCAGCUGCUCGUGCCGUGGACAGACUCUACGGACGUCGUUCCACCAGUAAGAACCCUACUAUUCAAUUCGCGUUCGUAUAAGCGUUGAGUUCCAUUAUAUGUCGGGCGAAAUCACGUCUUGAAUCGGGCGGCGCGUUUGCGCCAGCGAGGGCGCCGCCGUGUUUAGGAGAUGCGCCGCCGUGACAGGGGUCGUGGGGAAAGGGGGAUGGCUGUGUGCCCGUGUGCCGUUGAUCACGUGUUGGACGAUGGAGAUUAGACUUCCAGUCGUCGCAUUGAAGCUAAGCUCCACGCCAUCCAUCUGGAGUUCAACGGAGUAGAUUAGAUCGCGUUAAAUAAAAUCUGGGUCGUCCGCGUGGAAUCGGAUGGCUCAGAGCGGGCGGUACCCUUUCAGUCAUGUCAAUUUGCUAAUGAGUCCCCGAAGAAGAUAGAAACUAACCCGCCGUCCACGCCAGGGACUCUCUGAGUCUUAGGAACAUUUUCACCGUAGCCCCUGCUGUUUUCUGUUAUUGAGGCCCAGUCCAGUGGGGUUAUUAAAUUAGAAAAAUGAGUUUUUAAAAUAAAAACAAUACCUAGAAUUUGUAUAAUUCAUAGAAACUCCAUAUGAACUCCAAAUUGGUCCAUUCCAGUUCCUAUAAUUUUGUAAUAUUACCCUCUAUCAAAUAGUUACACUGUUUUGGCAUGAAAGACUCAUUUAAAUUUAUCUAGCACUUAACCUUGUAUUAAGCACAUAAAACAUUAGAAAAUCCAUAACUUAAAAUCUAUACCUCCAAACUUAAUGAUUCCAGUUCCUGUGAUCUUAUUUUAAUGUCUAGUUUAUUACUGUAUAUUCUAUUUGUAUGUUUGGUGUAAUGUUAAUUUUGCCUAUACAAUGUUUGUCUGUAUUGCUACGACUAGCAGUGAGGUCACGAGUCAUCUGAAGAUCACCCCGGUACCUGGAAUCUCAAGUCCCAGGCAAGUUGUGCCCUUGAUCACUUCUUUUACCUACUCAUGUUCUGAUUAAUCAUAAUGAUCUGCAUAGGUUAAUUUUGAUGGGACCCAAUAGGUCACCCUAGUUUGUUCAUCCUGAAUACCUUGUUUACCCCUGAAUCACUUGGGUAGUUCUGCUACUGCUUUAUAUGGUUUUGGGUUAAUAUUUCAUUACAUCUAUGUUUCAAUUAUGUUGUUAUUCUAUUUAUGUUCAUGACAAGAUCAUUAAAAUGUUAAUUGGAACAUAGAGCUUAACUUGAGAACCACGUGCCACCAUAAGGGUUUAAUGGGACGCCCUUGGCUGACUAAUUAGGAAAGCUAGUGGAGGACUACCUUACCCGAAAGGGGCAAGGGC
This 4816-nucleotide long non-coding RNA is filed under the name Zea mays. Its description in RNAcentral is "long non-coding RNA (ZMAY_LNC003543)". Lineage: Eukaryota; Viridiplantae; Streptophyta; Magnoliopsida; Poales; Poaceae. The record is from RNAcentral.